This is a long non-coding RNA of Eublepharis macularius, 760 nucleotides long. RefSeq lists it as uncharacterized. The record is from RefSeq and is a predicted model, not a curated record. The transcript is spliced from 3 exons. Lineage: Eukaryota; Metazoa; Chordata; Lepidosauria; Squamata; Eublepharidae.
UGGGAUUGUGCAGUAGCUGCUUCGGAGUCUCAGAGCUGUUGGUUCCACAGGGUACUUCUUGCUCUGUGACCUGUAUUUUGUGAAGAAGGCAAACCUCAGGAACUGGACUUUGACAGCCAAUCACUUUAAAAUCUCCUUUUCUCUCUCGACCUUGCAGUGUUUACCUUCCUAGGGUACUCUCCAGGAAAUGAAAGGGUUGAAUGUCCUUCCAUGCUCAAGUGGAUUACUAACUCUGCCCCAUGACCAGCCAAAAAUCUGGAUUGCAUGGUAGUUUUGAAGGGAAAAGGAAGUAGGGAAAUGGAAGAAUAUGUUUCUGUGAACCUGUCAACAGACCACUUUCUGGGACGGAAGAAUAUCCAUCCUAUAGCAGUAGUUUAAGUCAGCUUUUAUGUGGGGGUAAUCCUAACAGCUCUUUAAGUAGAAAAAGCUAACUAUUCUGCAUUUAGUCAAAUCAAACUCAAGUUAUGAGCGCUACUUUCUUCUUGAAUGAUUUUCUUUGUUUUGAAAUAGGUUGUAUUCGCAACAUACAAGCAGAAAUUCACAGUCUUUAUGCACCAGAAGAUAUUAAAAAUAUUGCCUCCUAGAAUCACCACGUUAGACUAAUACGUGGAGAACAGGUACUUCAAUGGCUAAUGAGUUACGGCUAAAUAAAAGCUCCAUGUUCAGAGGCAGCAUACCUCUGAACACCAAUUGCUGGGAAGCAGAAUGCCUUCAUGUCCUGCUUGUGGAUUUCUCGGAAGAACGUGUUCGGUUAUUGUGG